GGUGAACGCUGGCGGUAGGCCUAACACAUGCAAGUCGAACGGCAGCACAGUAAGAGCUUGCUCUUACGGGUGGCGAGUGGCGGACGGGUGAGGAAUACAUCGGAAUCUACUUUUUCGUGGGGGAUAACGUAGGGAAACUUACGCUAAUACCGCAUACGACCUACGGGUGAAAGCAGGGGAUCUUCAGACCUUGCGCGAUUGAAUGAGCCGAUGUCGGAUUAGCUAGUUGGCGGGGUAAAGGCCCACCAAGGCGACGAUCCGUAGCUGGUCUGAGAGGAUGAUCAGCCACACUGGAACUGAGACACGGUCCAGACUCCUACGGGAGGCAGCAGUGGGGAAUAUUGGACAAUGGGCGCAAGCCUGAUCCAGCCAUACCGCGUGGGUGAAGAAGGCCUUCGGGUUGUAAAGCCCUUUUGUUGGGAAAGAAAAGCAGCAGGUUAAUACCCCGCUGUUCUGACGGUACCCAAAGAAUAAGCACCGGCUAACUUCGUG
RNAcentral lists this ribosomal RNA (492 nucleotides) under uncultured bacterium. RNAcentral's name for it is "partial 16S ribosomal RNA". It matches the Rfam family "Bacterial small subunit ribosomal RNA", at positions 28 to 507 of the family's 1533-position model. The record is from RNAcentral.